This 833-nucleotide long non-coding RNA is filed under the name Nicotiana benthamiana. Its description in RNAcentral is "long non-coding RNA (NBEN_LNC020919)". The record is from RNAcentral. Lineage: Eukaryota; Viridiplantae; Streptophyta; Magnoliopsida; Solanales; Solanaceae.
UAUACAGAAGCAGAAGAACAACAAUUAAAAGAAGAAGGGAAAGUUGGCACCCAAGCAAACUUGUACAGACCAGCCUCAUCUUUACCAAGAUCCAGAGGCAUCUUCAGAGAAGGGGCCUGUAACAUAUGAAGGAAACAGGAAGUUGCAGUAAACAAGACUAUGCAAUGCAACCGUUUUACUAGUUUGUGGACAGAAAUCAAGUUGUGUUUGAAAGAAAGAACAAACAAGACAUCAUGAAGAAUGAUGAAUGGAGUUAAUGCAAAAGAUCAUGUGCAUGUCACUUUCACUUUAUAUCCAUUAGGAAGAGUUACAAGAUAGGGCACAGUUAAAGGUGUAAGGUUAUCUUUCAGGAGGAUUCCCAUGAGGAGCAGACAUAUUUCCUUCAGAAGAAGGGAAAUCCACACCAAUAGUGAUAUGAGCAGCAGCAAGUCUCCUUUCCUUGUUAAAUUUGAUAUUUUGUGGAUACCCAUGAAUAUUGUAACACUUAUCAAUUAAGUGCCCAGACUUUUUGCAGUAUCUACAGAAGUACAGAACCUCUAGAUGGGUAAUUAACUCUUUGUCUGAAAGGAGAAGGAUUAGGCACUGUGAACUGAUUGAUUCCAACUGAAUGUUUGUUUGUGUUGACAUUGAAAGACAUAGAGUCUGGAUUUAACUGAGAAAUGGACUGGACUUGUCUCUGUUUCUCAUGAUUGAGGACUAUAUUAUUGACACUAUCAAGGGUAGGAGGAGGCUGUAUCAUCAGUAAGUUACUCCUUACCCCCAUGUAUGCUUCAUUAAGGCCCAUGAGAAACUGAAACACCUUAUUCUCAUCAUCUUCCUGUAUGAUGCCAUUU